RNAcentral lists this transfer RNA (67 nucleotides) under Agenocimbex maculatus. Its description in RNAcentral is "tRNA-Arg". The record is from RNAcentral. Lineage: Eukaryota; Metazoa; Arthropoda; Insecta; Hymenoptera; Cimbicidae.
AAAUUAGAAAUAAAGGUUUAUAUUCAGUUUCGACCUGAAAUUUUAGUUAUUUUAUAACUCUAAUUUA